RNAcentral lists this ribosomal RNA (254 nucleotides) under uncultured bacterium. Its description in RNAcentral is "partial 16S ribosomal RNA". It matches the Rfam family "Archaeal small subunit ribosomal RNA", at positions 474 to 727 of the family's 1478-position model. The record is from RNAcentral.
UACCGGCAGCUCGAGUGAUGACCGAUUUUAUUGGGCCUAAAGCGUCCGUAGCUGGCCGCGCAAGUCCGUCGGGAAAUCCACCCGCUUAACGGGUGGGCGUCCGGCGGAAACUGUGCGGCUUGGGACAGGAAGGCUCGAGGGGUACGUUCGGGGUAGGAGUGAAAUCCCGUAAUCCUGAACGGACCGCCGAUGGCGAAAGCACCUCGAGAGGACUGAUCCGACAGUGAGGGACGAAAGCUGGGGUCUCGAACCGG